UGGGGAAUAUUGCACAAUGGGCGCAAGCCUGAUGCAGCCACGCCGCGUGUGUGAAGAAGGCCUUCGGGUUGUAAAGCACUUUCAGCGAGGAGGAAGGUGGUGAACUUAAUACGUUCAUCAAUUGACGUUACUCGCAGAAGAAGCACCGGCUAACUCCGUGCCAGCAGCCGCGGUAAUACGGAGGGUGCAAGCGUUAAUCGGAAUUACUGGGCGUAAAGCGCACGCAGGCGGUUUGUUAAGUCAGAUGUGAAAUCCCCGGGCUCAACCUGGGAACUGCAUUUGAAACUGGCAAGCUAGAGUCUCGUAGAGGGGGGUAGAAUUCCAGGUGUAGCGGUGAAAUGCGUAGAGAUCUGGAGGAAUACCGGUGGCGAAGGCGGCCCCCCUGGACGAAGACUGACGCUCAGG
Molecule: ribosomal RNA, 405 nt
Filed under: uncultured bacterium
Lineage: Bacteria
Description: partial 16S ribosomal RNA
Rfam family: Bacterial small subunit ribosomal RNA
Source: RNAcentral